Molecule: non-coding RNA, 761 nt
Organism: Pelobates cultripes (western spadefoot toad)
Lineage: Eukaryota; Metazoa; Chordata; Amphibia; Anura; Pelobatidae
Source: the annotation of a GenBank genome assembly
CUCUUUAAUAUUUUUAUUAGUGAUAUUGCAGAAGGUCUUGAUGGUAAGGUAUGUCUUUUUGCUGAUGAUACUAAGAUAUGUAACAGGGUUGAUGUUCCAGGAGGGUUAAGCUAAAUGGCAAAUGAUUUAGGUAAACUAGAAAAAUGGUCAGAGUUGUGGCAACUGACAUUUAAUGUAGAUAAGUGCAAGAUAAUGUAUCUUGGACGUAAAAACCCAAGGGCAGAGUACAGAAUAUUUGAUAGAGUUCUAACCUCAACAUCUGAGGAAAGGGAUUAAGGGGUAAUUAUUUCAGAUGACUUAAAGGUAGGCAGACAUUGUAAUAGAGCAGCAGGAAAUGCUAGCAUAAUGCUUGGUUGUAUAGGGAGAGGUAUUCACAGUAGAAAAAGGGAGGUGCUCAUGCCAAUGUACAGAACACUGGUGAGACCUCACCUGGAGUCUUGUACGCAGUAGUGGAGACGAUAUCUCCAGAAGGAUAUUGAUACUUUAGAGUGUUCAGAGAAGGGCUACUAAACUGGUUCAUGGAUUGCAGGAAAAAAACUUACAAGGAAAGGUUAAAGGAACUUAACAUGUAUAGCUUCGAGGAAAGACGAGACGGGGGGAUAUGAGAAACAUUUAAAUACAUAAAGGGAAUCAACACAGUAAAGGAGGAAGACUAUAUUUAAAAGAAUAAAAACUACCACAACAAGAGGACAUUGUCUUAAAUUAGAAGGGCAAAGGUUUAAAAAUAAUAUCCGUAAGUACAGGGAGUGCAGAAUUAUUAG